AUUGAACGCUGGCGGAAUGCUUUACACAUGCAAGUCGAACGGCAGCACGGACUUCGGUCUGGUGGCGAGUGGCGAACGGGUGAGUAAUACAUCGGAACGUGCCCAGUCGUGGGGGAUAACGUAGCGAAAGCUACGCUAAUACCGCAUACGAUCUAAGGAUGAAAGCGGGGGGUCGCAAGACCUCGCGCGAUUGGAGCGGCCGAUGGCAGAUUAGGUAGUUGGUAGGGUAAAGGCCUACCAAGCCGACGAUCUGUAGCUGGUCUGAGAGGACGACCAGCCACACUGGGACUGAGACACGGCCCAGACUCCUACGGGAGGCAGCAGUGGGGAAUUUUGGACAAUGGACGCAAGUCUGAUCCAGCCAUUCCGCGUGCAGGAUGAAGGCCCUCGGGUUGUAAACUGCUUUUGUACAGAACGAAAAGGCUCUGGUUAAUACCUGGAGCUCAUGACGGUACUGAAGAAGAAGCACCGGCUAACUACGUGCCAGCCGCCGCCGUAA
RNAcentral lists this ribosomal RNA (499 nucleotides) under uncultured bacterium. Its description in RNAcentral is "partial 16S ribosomal RNA". It matches the Rfam family "Bacterial small subunit ribosomal RNA", at positions 30 to 523 of the family's 1533-position model. The record is from RNAcentral.